Molecule: transfer RNA, 73 nt
Filed under: Komagataella phaffii
Lineage: Eukaryota; Fungi; Ascomycota; Pichiomycetes; Pichiales; Pichiaceae
Also listed under: 2 other names
Description: tRNA-Arg
Rfam family: tRNA
About the family: Transfer RNA (tRNA) molecules are approximately 80 nucleotides in length. Their secondary structure includes four short double-helical elements and three loops (D, anti-codon, and T loops).
Source: RNAcentral
UUACCUUUAAUUUAAUUGGUUAAAAUAUUAAUCUACGGAAUUAAAUAUAUUGGUUCAAUUCCAAUAAGGUAAU